RNAcentral lists this ribosomal RNA (254 nucleotides) under uncultured bacterium. RNAcentral describes it as "partial 16S ribosomal RNA". It matches the Rfam family "Bacterial small subunit ribosomal RNA", at positions 524 to 776 of the family's 1533-position model. The record is from RNAcentral.
CACGUAGGCACCAAGCGUUGUCCGGAUUUAUUGGGCGUAAAGAGCUCGUAGGCGGUUGAGUAAGUCGGGUGUGAAAACUCUGGGCUUAACCCAGAGCCGCCACCCGAUACUGCUCUGACUUGAGUUCGGUAGGGGAGCAGGGAAUUCCUAGUGUAGCGGUGAAAUGCGCAGAUAUUAGGAGGAACACCGGUGGCGAAGGCGGGUCUCUGGGCCGAUAUCGACGCUGAGGAGCGAAAGCGUGGGGAGCGAACAGG